GACGAACGCUGGCGGCGUGCUUAACACAUGCAAGUCGAACGGAAAGGCCCUGCUUUUGUGGGGUGCUCGAGUGGCGAACGGGUGAGUAACACGUGAGUAACCUGCCCUUGACUUUGGGAUAACUUCAGGAAACUGGGGCUAAUACCGGAUAGGAGCUCCUGCUGCAUGGUGGGGGUUGGAAAGUUUCGGCGGUUGGGGAUGGACUCGCGGCUUAUCAGCUUGUUGGUGGGGUAGUGGCUUACCAAGGCUUUGACGGGUAGCCGGCCUGAGAGGGUGACCGGCCACAUUGGGACUGAGGUACGGCCCAGACUCCUACGGGAGGCAGCAGUGGGGAAUAUUGCACAAUGGGCGGAAGCCUGAUGCAGCAACGCCGCGUGCGGGAUGACGGCCUUCGGGUUGUAAACCGCUUUCGCCUGUAACGAAGCGUGAGUGACGGUAAUGGGUAAAGAAGCACCGGCUAACUACGUG
Molecule: ribosomal RNA, 468 nt
Filed under: uncultured bacterium
Lineage: Bacteria
Description: partial 16S ribosomal RNA
Rfam family: Bacterial small subunit ribosomal RNA
Source: RNAcentral